GGGAAAGUACCAUUUGGAUCACUCUUUGUUGUUCAUAUACAUAGAGCAGAACAGUCCGAACAUAAAACAUCCUCAUCGAAUCACGCUCAGAGCUCAGGAAACGAUCUUGUACUGCUUGGGUGCACACCAGAGGAAACUCGGGACUUGUAGAGUUGUUACUUCUAAACAUCUGUCUUCCUGCGCUCCCCGGGCUCAGACAGCUCUGAACGCAGCCAUCGGACGGACCAUGCCACAGAGGAGCCUGCAUCCCCUGGUCUACAUCCUCCUGAUUUGGAUCAGCAUUCUCACCAUACUCCUGCCCGUGUUCAUCACCCUUAGCCUUUCAUUGAGACAGUCUUCGAACAAUUGCACUCUAGGGUGCCCAGCCCCAUUAAACUAUCCAGCGUGCUCCAGUGAAUUACUCAACCUUCAAGCUAAAG
Molecule: long non-coding RNA, 419 nt
Organism: Cyprinodon tularosa
Lineage: Eukaryota; Metazoa; Chordata; Actinopteri; Cyprinodontiformes; Cyprinodontidae
Exons: 3
Source: RefSeq, a predicted model, not a curated record